AAGUCGUAACAAGGUUUCCGUAGGUGAACCUGCGGAAGGAUCAUUAACAAAAAAAUACAACAAAAAAACCUUUUUUUAUUUUAUUAUUUAUAUUUAAAUCAAACACCAUGUGAAUCUUUGUAAUUUUUAUUACAAAAAAUUAAAUAAAACCACAAAAAAUUUAAAAAAAAUGAAAGUGAAAGAGAAAAAGAAAAGCUUUAUCUCUUUCUUUACCAAAAAUUUUUAAUCAAAGAAAUAACUCUUAACAAUGGAUAUCUCGGCUCUCGC
Molecule: unclassified non-coding RNA, 267 nt
Filed under: fungal sp.
Lineage: Eukaryota; Fungi
Description: partial internal transcribed spacer region
Rfam family: Eukaryotic small subunit ribosomal RNA (bases 1-46)
Source: RNAcentral